Molecule: non-coding RNA, 72 nt
Organism: Candidatus Roizmanbacteria bacterium
Lineage: Bacteria; Candidatus Roizmaniibacteriota
Source: Rfam
GCCCUUAUAGCUUAACGGAUAAAGCGGCGGUCUUCGGAACCGCAUAUGGGGGUUCAAUUCCUCCUGAGGGCA